GCAGGAUGUUUUCACUGAUUGUAAACUGGGAUUCUGUCUGACUGAUGAUUAAAACAAUCAGAUGACCCUCAGGUGUCUACUUCAGGAGCUGAUGUGACUGGGGAGAAGUCAGUCACCACACUUGGGCCAACCAGGAAAAUGGGGAAGUGGAGAGUCUUGGGUGUGCCUGUCUGAAGCUCUGAAGAAGUCCUCUGUCCUCAGGUCACAAAAUAGUUUAUCGCAUGGUCACUUGAUAACAUUACAGUUUUUGUUUCCCAGCUCGUCACUCUUGUCAGUGCUCUGUUGAUACCAGGGUCCUGGACUGUUGCAGCUGACCUGGAGAAGGAGCAGGUAAGGAG
This 338-nucleotide long non-coding RNA is filed under the name Felis catus (domestic cat). RNAcentral's name for it is "lncRNA (ENSFCAG00000046791.2)". The record is from RNAcentral. Lineage: Eukaryota; Metazoa; Chordata; Mammalia; Carnivora; Felidae.